CCCUUAGAUGUUCUGGGCUGCACGCGCGCUACACUGACGGAGGCAGCGAGCAUGUCCUUCGCCGAGAGGUGUGGGGAAUCUUGUGAGUCUCCGUCGUGCUGGGGAUAGAUGGUUGCAAUUGUCGAUCUUGAACGAGGAAUUCCUAGUAAGCGCGAGUCAUCAGCUCGCGCUGAUUACGUCCCUGCCCUUUGUACACACCGCCCGUCGCUACUACCGAUUGGAUGGUUUAGCGAGAGCCUUGGAUUGGAGCCCAGGUGGUCGGCAACGGCCGCUCGGGAUUCCGAGAAAUUGUUCCAGCUGACUCAUCUAGAGGAAGUAAAAGUCGUAACA
RNAcentral lists this ribosomal RNA (330 nucleotides) under uncultured eukaryote. RNAcentral's name for it is "partial 18S ribosomal RNA". It matches the Rfam family "Eukaryotic small subunit ribosomal RNA", at positions 1470 to 1796 of the family's 1831-position model. The record is from RNAcentral.